GGACGAACGCUGGCGGCGUGCCUAAUCCAUGCAAGUCGAGCGUACGGCUGGGAGCUUGCUCCCAGACCGUAAGCGGCGGACGGGUGAGUAACACGUAGGCAACCUUCCUGUAAGACUGGGAUAACUCCGGGAAACCGGAGCUAAUACCGGAUCACUCUUUCCCUCACAUGAGGGAAAGCUGAAAGAUGGCAUCUCGCUAUCACUUACAGAUGGGCCCGCGGCGCAUUAGCUAGUUGGUGAGGUAACGGCUCCCCAAGGCCACGAUGCGUAGCCGACCUGAGAGGGGGAUCGGCCACACUGGGACGGAGACACGGCCCAGAGUCCUACGGGAGGCAGCAGUAGGGAAUCUUACGCAAUGGACGGAAGUCUGACGGAGCAACGCCGCGUGAGUGAUGAAGGUUUUCGGAGCGUAAAACUGUGUUGUCAGUGAAGAACCAGUACCGGAGUAACUGACGGUACCGUGACGGUACCUGACCAGAAAGCCACGGCUAACUACGUG
Molecule: ribosomal RNA, 499 nt
Filed under: uncultured bacterium
Lineage: Bacteria
Description: partial 16S ribosomal RNA
Rfam family: Bacterial small subunit ribosomal RNA
Source: RNAcentral